UACUCAAAAACUCCUAACCAGCAACAUAGGAUUCCAUUCACUACGCUAAGCUAACUAGCGGCGGCGCUGCCGGUGUUGCACCGGACUAAAACAAUGCAUGCACUGAGACCAAAAAAUGCAUUGGCCCACCUAUUUACAGUUAGGGGAGACCGUGAUAAGCACUAUUUCAACAAACGGUGGCGUGUUCCUUUAAAACACAAUGGCUCAUUACCAUCAAGUG
Molecule: long non-coding RNA, 220 nt
Organism: Etheostoma spectabile (orangethroat darter)
Lineage: Eukaryota; Metazoa; Chordata; Actinopteri; Perciformes; Percidae
Exons: 3
Source: RefSeq, a predicted model, not a curated record